AUGAUACUCCCUCUGUCUGAAAAUACUUGUCCUAUAAAUGAAUAAAAUGGAUAUAUCUAUAACUAAAAAAAUCUAGAUACAUGUAUUUUUAGGACAAAUAUUUCCGGAUGGAGGGAGUACUAU
Non-coding RNA from Hordeum vulgare subsp. vulgare (domesticated barley), 123 nucleotides. NCBI's taxonomy places the organism in Eukaryota, Viridiplantae, Streptophyta, Magnoliopsida, Poales, Poaceae. The record is from Rfam.